CUAUAAUGCAGUCGAGCGGACAGAUGGGAGCUUGCUCCCUGAUGUUAGCGGCGGACGGGUGAGUAACACGUGGGUAACCUGCCUGUAAGACUGGGAUAACUCCGGGAAACCGGGGCUAAUACCGGAUGGUUGUUUGAACCGCAUGGUUCAAACAUAAAAGGUGGCUUCGGCUACCACUUACAGAUGGACCCGCGGCGCAUUAGCUAGUUGGUGAGGUAACGGCUCACCAAGGCGACGAUGCGUAGCCGACCUGAGAGGGUGAUCGGCCACACUGGGACUGAGACACGGCCCAGACUCCUACGGGAGGCAGCAGUAGGGAAUCUUCCGCAAUGGACGAAAGUCUGACGGAGCAACGCCGCGUGAGUGAUGAAGGUUUUCGGAUCGUAAAGCUCUGUUGUUAGGGAAGAACAAGUACCGUUCGAAUAGGGCGGUACCUUGACGGUACCUAACCAGAAAGCCACGGCUAACUACGUGCCAGCAGCCGCGGUAAUACGUAGGUGGCAAGCGUUGUCCGGAAUUAUUGGGCGUAAAGGGCUCGCAGGCGGUUUCUUAAGUCUGAUGUGAAAGCCCCCGGCUCAACCGGGGAGGGUCAUUGGAAACUGGGGAACUUGAGUGCAGAAGAGGAGAGUGGAAUUCCACGUGUAGCGGUGAAAUGCGUAGAGAUGUGGAGGAACACCAGUGGCGAAGGCGACUCUCUGGUCUGUAACUGACGCUGAGGAGCGAAAGCGUGGGGAGCGAACAGGAUUAGAUACCCUGGUAGUCCACGCCGUAAACGAUGAGUGCUAA
RNAcentral lists this ribosomal RNA (786 nucleotides) under Bacillus subtilis. RNAcentral's name for it is "bacterial SSU rRNA". It matches the Rfam family "Bacterial small subunit ribosomal RNA", at positions 51 to 819 of the family's 1533-position model. The record is from RNAcentral. Lineage: Bacteria; Bacillati; Bacillota; Bacilli; Caryophanales; Bacillaceae.